Molecule: ribosomal RNA, 392 nt
Filed under: uncultured bacterium
Lineage: Bacteria
Description: bacterial SSU rRNA
Rfam family: Bacterial small subunit ribosomal RNA
Source: RNAcentral
AAUCAACGCUGGCGGCGUGCCUCAGACAUGCAAGUCGAACGAUUAAAGCUCUCUUCGGAGAGUGUAUAAAGUGGCGCACGGGUGAGUAACACGUAAGUAAUCUACCUUCGAGUGGGGAAUAACGUCCGGAAACGGACGCUAAUACCGCAUAACGCAGCGGCAUCGCAAGAUGACAGUUGUUAAAGAUUUAUCGCUUGAAGAGGAGCUUGCGGCAGAUUAGCUUGUUGGUAAGGUAACGGCUUACCAAGGCUACGAUCUGUAUCCGGUCUAAGAGGACGGUCGGACACACUGACACUGAAUAACGGGUCAGACUCCUACGGGAGGCAGCAGGUCGGUAAUUUUGGGCAAGUGGGGGAAACCCUGACCCAGCAACGCCGCGUGAAGGAUGAAGU